Molecule: long non-coding RNA, 9144 nt
Organism: Macrobrachium nipponense
Lineage: Eukaryota; Metazoa; Arthropoda; Malacostraca; Decapoda; Palaemonidae
Exons: 2
Source: RefSeq, a predicted model, not a curated record
UUUGUGCCUUGUGUUCUGUGACCUCAAUUGUCCUAGUUAGCAUCAAAAGUGACUCUUUACAGAUGCAGAUUAGUGUUGAAGUUCUCAGGUGCUAUUAAUUUCUAAAUUGAUUUGAUGAAAAACAACUUGUUGCAUAUAGCCUGGAGUCUGAGUAACCUUUCCAUUACCUUUUUAAGUUUUAUUUUUUAUUUAUAUACUGUAUGGUGUAUUACACUUAUUAACUGUAAUGGGUGCCUUGUGUAAUUUUGUAUUUUUAGAUCACAUUCCAUUCUGUUAUAUAAAACCCCCUCAAAAAAUAUUUUGUUUUAACUGAGCAAGACGGCUUCAUCGUAUAUAUUUUACCUGUUAAUAGCAAGUAUUUUGUUUUAAAUUCUCAUCAGCUGUCUAAUUUUCAAUCAAGUAACUAAUGCAUAGACAAGUGAUGCUGCAGGCAGUUCUUCUUUUUCCACAAUAACAGUUUUGUAUGCAGUUUACAAAUUACAAAUGCUUCUAGUUUUGUAAGCAAAUCUUUAAGUAGUUUCAUAGACAAUCCUUUUUUGUGUCAUUGUUGAAUACAUUGAUGGAAUUGAUUGGGCUUUCCCCCAGCACUUCACAGUAUUCUAUGCAGUAUUGUCAGUGUUUUUAUAGCCUAAACUACUUAUUUCCACUUGCAGUGUUUGGGCUGCAGAAGCCUCCCCAGGCAGUGUUUUGGUUGCUAAUCUCAUUUGUUUGAGCUACUGCUAGUCCCUUUGCUGAACUUGUGCAACUAGAUUAUCUUCAAAUACUUAGGCUAUUUAAGUCCUUUUGCAGUUGCAAGCCACUUAGUCGUUCAUUAUUUGCGUGGUGGUGGAAGUAGCUCUGAGAUGUAACUAGUUACUGUAAUGCUUCGGCUUUAGAGGAGGAGAUGUGAUAUUGUGAAGUCCUGUAAAUCCAAUUUCUCUCCCUCCCCAGGUGACAGUAGUUAGCAUCAACCAUAGCACUUAACAGAUGCAGUUGGAAGAACUUGGAGUCCAGAGUGCGAAUGGCAGCGUGGCAAGUAGUAGGUAAAGUGGUAAUACUGUAAUAGUCGUAAAAUCUUAUUUGCCGUGUGAAGUAACAUCGUAGAAUGUGAGUUUUUAUUGUUCCGUCAUGAAGAUUGUUACUUGAACUUACAGUUUGAUUUACCAGUAUGAGUUGGAAGAAAACAAACUCAUAAUUUUACUGUGAAUCUUUUUAUAGUUGGUUAUUAAUUCUUUUAUGAAAGCAUAACUUCAUAAAGUUAAUUUGGAUCUGUAAGUUUAGGUAAGGCUCCUACACUGUGAAAGUGCCAGGCCCUUACAGUGUUAAAGUGCCAUCAACCAAGUGCUUUUCUAAUGAAAUUGUAAACGUUGUAAAGUUACUAUGAUUUUGAAGUUCUACAGUGGUGGGAAUGUUUCCUGUACUUUAAUCAGGAAAAGUGUUUUUAUUAGAGGAAGUGUAAGAAAGUUCCUUACAUGGAUUUUGUUAUCCAGCUCAAAUUUCUUGUCAUUGUAUAUGGUAUGUAGUAUAAUAUAAUUUUCUUAAAAAAACCAGGAAUAUUUAUAAAUGGCAGUUACAUAGAUGCAUUAAUAAUGAAUUCAAUAUUUAACAUUCUAUAUUGAAUUCUGAACACAGGCAUGACUUUUAUUGAAUUCUGGUAUCUUGUUUAUGUGGUUAUGAGUUUGACAGUUAUACGUAAUUCAAUUGUUAUUUUAGGUGUUUGACGGUUUGCAAAACUAUUCAAGGUUUUUAUUUUAUUUUCAUGGGGAAAGCUUUAUUUAUAUUUUUCACAACACCACUUAAUAUAGCUAAAAAUCUUCUUAAAUAUGGCAGUUUAUCACUGAUGCCAGUCAAAGGCUCUUAGAAUUUGAUGGAAAUUAAAAAUAUGGUAUGUACGUAAUUAGAAAUAACUCUGUUUGCUGUUUGUUAAAUGUGUGAUUUCUGACAUUUCCACUAUUAUCCAAGGUAGUCUAUAGACUACCUUGGAUAAUAGUGGAAAUGUCAGAAAUCACACAUUUUCCUAAGGUAAAUAAAUUUAUUCAUAUAUAGAUAUUUUUAUAUUUUUGUUAUAUGGUAACAAAACCAGUUUUGCACCCUAUUGUUGACAAGCCUCAUCCAUUAAAGAAAUUGAUGUAUUUUUAUUGUCAUAACUCGGGCUUCUUUUAAAUAUGAAGUCAGAAGUAUAGUACAUAAUCUGCCCUUAAUUGUAGACAGUAACUUAACUCAAUUUCAUCUUAGUAUUGUGGAUGUGUGUGGGGCAUAUAAAUGAUUAAGUACUGAAUAUAAUAUGCUGUCCCCACUAUGUAUACCAUGGAGCAAGCACAUGCAUAACAUAACUGCCAUAUCAAGAAAUUAUGUACUACUUGACCUUAGCUUUUUUUCCCCCAGAUACAAACUUAUUCAAUACUGUACUAACUCUAGUCAUUGUGCACAAAGUCACAUUCAAGGAUUUUGCAGUAAAUGAGAUUUUAUGAUAGCUUAUUCCAUAAAUGGUAGCCUAUUAGGGAGUGCAAAAACUGUAAAACAGCCUUUUACAAGAAUAAUAAUAAUUUAACUGAUGAUGAAGCCAACAUGUAGUAUGACUUCAUACCUGGAGGUUUAUUUUUUGUCCUACUCACUUCCUAGUGGAAGUAUACCUUUCAGUGGCACUGUAUAGAAUAUGAAACUAUCCCAUAUGAAUUAUCCAUGCAGACUGUAAGCGUAUUGCAGGUAAGAGCAAUGAGCAGACGCGGUGUGCUGGGCAUAGUAUUUUGUAGCCACAAACAUCAUUUGUGACUGCUAGCUAUAUUCAUAACAAUGAUAUACAGUUUAACAAUUAAAUACUUUGAAAUUGCCUCAUGUAUUUUGUAAGGCAUCUUACUUGUGUAAACUUAGUUUGAUGACCAGUUUAAUAACAGUAUAUGACAGUAUAUGACUACUGAAUAAAGCAGUCCCCAAAAAUGGAGGCAAUGAUCAUUAGCAAGGAUAUCAGUUAGCAACUUGGAAGUUAAAUUGCAAAAGAACUCAUUAAAGUAGCUUUUUAUUUUUUUUAAAUUUCAAAACUUGCAGCAUUCGUUUGAAACAGAAUAACCUGGAUUAGCUGGAGUCCGGUUAAAAAUAAUGCAAGGAAUUUGGUGGCAACAGGCAUCAGCCAACAGGAGAGUAGGAAGAAGCUACUUAACCUUCUUUACCCCCGCUAAACAUCAUCAAAUCAGUCUCUAACCGUCUUCAUAGCAAGAUGGUUUGGUGCCCAUCUUUCGCCAGAAGCCGGAUAUUUCACACUUCCUGCCCUCAUACGUCUAUGGCCUUCUGGUUCUCUCGCUCUUGUUUUGUUGUUUGUAUUUUAUGUGAUUUUUGAGUCUUGCAUUUUACUUGAAUUUCCCAAAUUGCAAGCCCGCAUUUCCAGUAAGCCUCCCAGGUGUCAGACUUGUCCUGGAGAUGGUAGCAACCCUUUUUCCCAUUAUGUGUCUUCUUUGUCUACAGACCCACAUCCCACUUGUAUAGGUGCAGAUCUAAUGUUUGCAGUAUAAGUAACCCUUAUUCUGUGUAUUAUCUUUGAUCUCCUGAGCAAUGGAAAUGAUUUUCUAAUAAGAGACAGAAUAAGAGGAAACCAACAGUGCCAUCUUUGAUGGCAGGCAAUCCAAUUCCUUCUUGUUCAGCCUCUUCCUUACCAAAGUCUCCUCUCGCUGCUGUUGCUUCUCAUGAAGACUUCUCUCUCUAUCAUUCUUCUUUGGUUUUUGUCCUUGAAAGAUUCAAGGCAAGGUUUGGGAUUUCAUCAUCUUUCCUAGGAAGAGGUUUCACAGGCAGUCUUUGGACUAUCACUCUUCAUCUCCUUCACCUGGAGCUCGGCCGUCCAAGCAUGUCUAAGCACAGCUGUACUGUCAGAGUAGCGUACGUCUGUGUCUCCUGCCCUAGAACCAGAUCCUUGGCCUACUUGUUACACAGAACAGGAAUUGAUUGUCCAACAAGUCUGUAGGGGGGAUGUUAAUGCUCCGGUUAAGUCAAUUGUGAAGCAACCUUCUCAGGACAGAGACCUUCCUCACUCUCUUAAGUUCACGUUCUCCCAGGAGGGAUGGUGAGUGGCACUCUCGUUUACAGAAAAUGACUCUAGGUCACACAGUGGUGACUGUCCUUCACAUUGCAGCAGCUAAAUGCGUGACUGAACAUCCAUCCCUUCUCUUGCUGGCACUUCCAAACCAAGACCUCAAUCUAGUUCUUACAAGUCACCUAAAAGACCUCAAAGUGCAGGAGUACCACACACAGGUUGUGAACCUUCCGCACUUCAAACCAAGAAGGCCACUCAGAAGUGGCCCUGUCAGCCCCACUUUUCCAAGCCCAGAAGAGUAGGCAGAGGUAGAGCUAGAGGAGGUAGACAAUAGAGGGGGCACACCUCCCCACUUUUGGGGGUGGGGGGGGUUGCCUGGCGAGCCACUGGGCAGCUUGGCAGCAGUACGGAGCGGAGACCUGGGCAGCAGAUGUUCUAUGGGCCGGAUUUCUUACUACCCUUUGAAUUUCCUCCUCCCCUCUCCAAGCUUCCCUCUUCACCAAUCAAUGUAUGCUCCAGGAUCACUGAUGCUUCUAGCUCUCCAAGAGGAAUUGAAGAAAAUGAUGGUAAAGGGGGCUGUGGAGGUAGUUCAGGACCCUUCUAUAGGUUUCUAGUCACAUCUUUCUGGUUUUCAAAGCAACAGGCAACUGGAGACCAGAUAGACCUGUUGACUCUCAACCUUUUUUUAAUGGAGAUGUGAUUAAAGAUGGAAGCUUCAUGGACAGUCCUUGCAGCCAUCAGAAAGGAUGACUUCAUGCUGACUAUAGACCUGAAGGAUGCAUACUAUCAGAUUCUGAUUCACCAAGACAGAGAUCAUCUACUCCUAUUUUGUUGCUGCUUAGGCAUCAUGAUAAAUCUGGAGAAGUCGAAUCUUUCACCCAGUCUGAGGAUCCUUUGCUUGGGCAUGAUCAUAAACAAUACAGUGGUGAAGGUGUUUCCCCUUAGAUCAAUGAACAGACAAGUCCAUGAACAUAACCCUGUCCUUCCUGUCUAAACUGAAGCAUCCAGCUUGUCACUGGCUGGUCAUCCUAGGUUACUUGUAAUCCCUAGUAAAGCUGAUUCCUCACGGUUGAUUUCACCUUCGCUCUCUUCAAUGGAGACUGAAGGAAUUUUGGUUCCCUUCGAGGGAUUCCCCCCAUGCUUCUGGCUCCCCUAUUGACAGAGGUAGGGCCAGACUUAGCAUGGUGACUGGACAACAAAAUCCUGACUCUAGGAGUACCCCCUUCACUACCCCUCUGAAAAUCCUACUGUUCUUGGACGCUUCAUAUGAAGGUUGGGGAGUGCACUUGGAAGAUCUAACAUUAUAUCAACAUGCUUGGAGCUGAAGGCAGCCAUCCUAGCACUUCAGGAAUUCCAAGAAAUGGUCACAUGGCAUUCUAUUGUCAUCAUGUUCGACAACACUACAAUAGUAGCUUAUGUCAACAAAUGGGGACUAGUGUCCUGUCAACUUCACAAGUUGACUAUACAGUUACACCAGUGGGCGAUCUCCUAUUCAUUAGACCUCUCAGCCAAAUACAUCCCAGGGAAGAGGAACAUUGUGGCAGACAAGCUGAGCUGUUAGGGUAAGGUACUGGGGAUGGAAUGUUCACUUCAGCAAGAGGUAGCGGAAAGGCUAUUCCAUCUGUGGGGAAGGUGUACAGUAGACCUUUUUGCAACAAGGUUCAACAGAAAACUAGAGAUUUUUUGUUUGGUUGUUACAGAUCGUGAACCAUGGCAAAAGACACUUUUCAACAUCCCUGGGACAACCUGGAAGGAUAUGCCUUUACCCCCUUUUGCCUAAUCCCUCAAGUGAUCAACAGAGUGAUCAUCUUGCAGAACCUUGGGAAAACCCUAGUGGAUCCCUUUUGGCCACAAGCAGAAUGGUUUCCCAAUCUUCUAACCUGAAGUUCUGAGGGAGAUUCCCCCAUGGCACAACUCCCACCUCGGUGGUCACGAGUUCGAUUCUCGGGCAUUCCAUUGAGGUGUAAGAGAUGUGUAUUUCUGGUGAUAGAAAUUCACUCUCGACGUGGUUCGGAAGUCACGUAAUGCCGUUGGUCCCAUUGCUGAGUAAUCCCUGUUUCCAUGCAACGUAAAAACACCAUAAAAACAAAAAACAAAACCCAUGGCACAACUUAUGCAAACCACACACAAAGAGGUUUCACUGAUUGGUAGGGGCACCACACAUAGAGAGGUUUCAACAAAAGGUAGGUCCUUAUCUCAUCACAACUGGAGACUAGUAUCUCUUGCGAGCGAAAGGCUUUCCUCGCAGAGUAGUGACCGAAAUGUCGGAUUACCUCAGUAGAUUGUCUACUUUCUCUAUAGGGAGAUACUACUCUCAAUUUCAGCCACCAAAGGUUUUAGAACUGCUCUAGGACUGGUUCUUUGUUUAAAGGGCAUGGAUCUCUUUUCAUUCACAAUAGAUCUUGACCUCCAUUGGGAUCUGACCAUGGUGCUCAGCAGUUUUACUCACCCUCCAUAUGAACCCUUGCAAGUCUCAACAGAUAGUUUUCUUACUGGCCUUGGCUUCUUCUAAGAGGGUUGGUGAACUACACAGAGACUCUUUUAAUGUUGACAUAAGAGGGGUUGGAGUUCUGUAGUCUUCGAAUUUGUCGCGGAAUUUGUGGCCAAGACUCAAAUGUCUCUAUUCAUGAUGACAGAUUCAAGUCUUUCCCAGUCACCUUACUUGCUGUUAUCCCCCCAGGGUACUGUGUAGCUAUCUAAAAGAGGCCUCUACAUCUAAGACCUGAUAGCUGAAGUCUUUUUGUUUGCACAGGCCGGAACAAAAAAGAAGUGUCCAAGAAUUCUUUCUCCUUUUGAUUAGACAAACUUACACUUCUGCUGCACAUUUAGAUGGUGAUACAGUGCAUGCAAGAGCACAUGAUGUUAGGGAUCUAGACCCUACCAUCACUUUCAAGAACAAGUCAUCAGUUUACAGGAUUUUGAAGGCAGGUGCCUGGCUUCACCAAACCACCUUCUUAUCCUUUUAUCUGCGGGGAAUUGUCCAUAGGUCCUUGGACACUUUUCCUUGGGUCUGGUGGUGGCUGCUCAACAAGUUACUCUUUCCUUGGGUCUGGAGGUGGCUACUCAAGUUGUGUACCUCAUCCAGUGUUUCAGGUGGGACAGUUUAGUAUCUUACCUAUCAUGUUGGAUAUUUAAGGGAAAGUGAAAGAUGACUAGUCUUCUUCCUUUCUCUUUCUUUUUUACUGGCGGGUCUUCUUUUCUCUUUCUUUUUCUUCUCUAUUGGCAGGCAGUAGAGAGAAUAAAUCCAUCAUAUGCUGGAACUGCUUAGACGCAGGUGAACAAACUUCCAAAUUCUUUAUAGAAGCAAGUACCAUUCCUCUCUUUCAAGGGGAGAGGGGCAAUGGCAACUAAAGGUGAGUUUACACUAGGCUUCACCACAUGAUGCAUACCUAAGACUCAUCACCAACUCCUCCCAAAUUCUUGUAAGCCCCACCUACUGGACUGCUCAUGAAGACUUGCGCCACACCACUAACUCACCGUAAUGAGCAGUCCAGUAGGAAGGGCUAACAAAAAUUUGGGAGGAGUUUGUGAUGAGUCUUACACAUGCAGCGUACGGUGAAGCCUAGUGUAAACUUACCCUAACAAAAUUGGUGGCUAAUGAAAGUUUUGUCUCUGACAGUUCAUUACCAUCAUCAAGACACAAUUAUGCAUUUCAUAUUCUAUUAGCCAAGAUGUCAGACUGUUUAGUAACCUAUGCUCAGCAGAUCAGUGGCUUUUGACGCCUUCAUAUGUCCUGGAAGUGAGCCCAAGUGGUCUGAACCUCCAGUCGGCUCUCUAAGACUUUCUUAUGCUCUCUCCAAGAGUAGGUAAGUCAUCCUUAUAUUAAGACCAAGGUUCAGUAUAUGAACAAUGACAACUCUUAAAUCAAUUUGCCUUUUUCAUAACUAACAAACCUUUGAAUUGAUAUAAAAUUUGUCAUAUAUUAUGGCUGUAUGUAAUAAUAAUAUCCAUCCUGGCUGGGUUGGUAAAAACCUGUAAUUGGCUUUAAAUAAUUAUGCCAAUCUUGGCAGCUUGGUACAGCCAAGAGUAUCACUUGCACAAUAUGAAACAGUAAGGAAGCUGGCUGUCACUGUUGUUUUUGUUGCAGUUUACAGACAAAAUUUAUUCUAUUAAAAGAAAGCUUUAGAGGUUUUCUGAAUCAGUUUUCAUCUUGCUGUCAUUAAAAAAAGGCAAAACUGUUACCUAUAUUUUCUGCACAUUUCUGUGUUCUGAUGGCUUGUGUUGGUAUAUUUAACUAGUGUAUUGUUAUCAGUGUAAAAUAUAAUGUUGAAAUUACUUUUAAAAAGUUAAUGGCCUUAAUUUCCAUCUGGGCUAUUUCUAUACUUUGAGGAAUAUGUUCAGGCUGUGAAAAGUCAUGAAAGAGUGAGUUUUUUUUUAUUCUGCUGAAUCUUGGCUCAUUGUGAGAAAUCUUGAGUUUUCAUAAAGUCCUUGUUUUAGUCUUCCAUAAAUUUAGAAUUUUAGUAUAAUAGUUCAGUACCUGUUUUGAACUGGAAAAACAAUUAGAUUUUUAUCCGGAUUAUUAAUGUGAGAAAAUUAUAUUAUACUUGUGGAAAGUUUAAGUAAUAUACAUUUAAGUCUUAUAACAAGCAAAAAAGGGCAUCUUCAAGUAAUGAUUACAGCUUAGAGGGAGAGUGAACGGUUAUAUAAUAAUGUGCACUGGACUUCUAAGAUCUAUUCCAGUGUUCAUCAACAGAAACUGUGGAGGCCCUUAUCAGUGGUGUUGGUGCCAUAAAUUCAACAUGUUGUUUGUUUCCUAGUACUUUAUCACUAUUUUAUUUUUUUCAUGUUACCCACAAGAAGUGAGUCUUGUAUUUUCUUAAGUUAACUUUAAAAGUCAAGGGUAAUUUUAAUGUUCAUGAUUUAGAAAAACAUUGUACUGAAUAACACUUAACAUCUAAGAGAAUUGCAAAUUUUUAAAUUAAUGGUCCACAUACUAGAAUUGGUAAUAGUUUUUGCUCUAUUACCAUAGCUUGAAUUUAGACCAUGCAGAAUGGUUUUGUUAGAUAUUGUGCAUUUGGAGAAUGCAUAAUGACCAUGAAUUCUUGUCCCAUAAUUUAACAAAUAGUCAAAUUUCUGUUGAUAGAAUAGUUCUGUAAACACUGUGGGUAUUUUUAUCAAAAUUAUAGUAAAUAUAUUGUUUAUAA